RNAcentral lists this long non-coding RNA (1806 nucleotides) under Marmota monax (woodchuck). The record is from RNAcentral. Lineage: Eukaryota; Metazoa; Chordata; Mammalia; Rodentia; Sciuridae.
AGGAAUUCCCCGAAGCAACAGGGCUUCGGCACCUGCUGGGAGUCCCUCAGUCCCUCCUUUUACUUACAGGAUUAGCUCCUCUGGUUUGGUUCCACCCCAGGCACUCUCCAUCUCCUAACAUUUUAGUAGUCAGCUCUCAAAAGUUCGGGGGUGGGGGGGUGGUGGUAUCAAAAUUUGUAACUGAAAGUUUGGUUCCUGACCUUGAAGCCAGUUAAUGCCAAUUUAAUAAUGAGGACAGGGUUUUGAGAAAAAGAAAAAGGGGGGUUUAUUGCUUUGCUAACAAAGGAGAAACAUGGGGGACUCUGCCCAAAGGUUGUGACUCUCUUGAUCUGGAGGGACAAGGGGUUUUAAAGGAAUCUCACUUGUUAACCUGGGAGAUACUCAGUUCUUAGGUCCCCAGCAGGCAUUGCCCUCUGCAGGGGUGUGCUCCAGGCAGCCAGCUAGGGGCUUCUCUCAUCCUGCUUAACAAAGUGGGGUAAAGUUCAUCACAGUUCCUUAAAACACAGUCCAAAGGUGUGUCAGGCUUACUUGCUUUAUUACCCAUUUUCACGUCCAAUAUCCUUAAGUUUUUACCACAGAAAUCACACAACAAAACGCACAAAAACAAGCAAACAAAAAACAUAUAGAACACAGAACAAAACACAAGAAAACAGAAACCCGGCACCGAAACAGCAAAACAGAGGAGCAAUGCAAUGUUUUGCUAAAGCUCAGGGGUAGGAGUGCGUGCGUGCCCGUCGGCACCUCUCUACCCUUCCAGAGGAAUUCCCUACAGAACAGAACAGAGGACAGAACCAUUUCUCGUUACUGUCCGGACAGGAGUAUAUGUGAGCCUCACCAGGCCACCUCUCUGUCAUCAGAAGAGAUCUCCCUUAACCGGAUACCAGAUGUUAUAAAGCCUCCACUUACCUAUGGAGGCCUCCUCCACCAGGUGCUUGCUGAUAGUUUUAGUGUGGCAGUUCACUGCAGUGCUCCGGGGACCGAGGGCUCACUCCGAGGCCUUGGAACGUCUCAAGGUGCGCACCCCCUAGAGUGGCUCUCCAGCCUGGAGCCCUGGAGUGAAGGCCGGCUUCAGAAUUUCCAGCACUCUGGUCUUGUGAUCUGGUUGGGCAGGGUCAUCUCUCUGGGGCCUCCAAAAUGUUAGACCAGGACGCAAGAAAAGACCACUGACUCCAAUUAAAAUCAAAUUAAAGCAAGCUUAUUAUUUCAACCAGCUGGGCUGCCUCUCCCUCCCAAAACGGCAGGAACAAGACAGCACCCCACCUUUCCUACAGCCCAGCUUUAUAGCCCAGCAAGUUACACAAAAGGGGGGUUACAGAUAACAGAACUCUGACAAGCAUCACACUAAUGGUAGUUUACAUUUUUUUUUUUUUGCUGGCCCCAACAUCAGAAUUUAUGAGGACCAUUAGAGCCUCAGAGAGGGUCGUUGUCUGGCCAGGGAAGGCCAAUAUUUAUGAGGUGUCACUAAGUUUCAGAGAGGGCUGCUAUCUGGUCAGAGAGCCAGGCAUGGGUGAGUUCAAGGCACGGGCAGGCAUUCCAAGCAGGUUCAGAAUUUGCAGUAAUUUAUAGUAAAGCUGAAAUUAUCUUUUCAUGGUUUUGUGCGAGAUGCCCAAUUUUAAGAAAAGAUCAGGUUGGGUCUAUCAGGGGGUGCAGCCCACUGGUUGAGACCAGGAUGAGGCUGGAGGCCUCUGGCUCCUGGGGUGGAGAGCUGGCUCUGCUUCUGCUGGGGCUGCCGGGCUCUGUGGAAUAGCUGCUGGAGGCCAAGGGCACAGAGCUCUAUGUGGCUGUGCAGUCACCUCAAACCCCCAA